AGUGAACGCUGGCGGUAGGCCUAACACAUGCAAGUCGAACGGCAGCACAGUAAGAGCUUGCUCUUACGGGUGGCGAGUGGCGGACGGGUGAGGAAUACAUCGGAAUCUACUUUUUCGUGGGGGAUAACGUAGGGAAACUUACGCUAAUACCGCAUACGACCUACGGGUGAAAGCAGGGGAUCUUCGGACCUUGCGCGAUUGAAUGAGCCGAUGUCGGAUUUGCUAGUUGGCGGGGUAAAGGCCCACCAAGGCGACGAUCCGUAGCUGGUCUGAGAGGAUGAUCAGCCACACUGGAGCUGAGACACGGUCCAGACUCCUACGGGAGGCAGCAGUGGGGAAUAUUGGACAAUGGGCGCAAGCCUGAUCCAGCCAUACCGCGUGGGUGAAGAAGGCCUUCGGGUUGUAAAGCCCUUUUGUUGGGAAAGAAAAGCAGCAGGUUAAUACCCCGCUGUUCUGACGGUACCCAAAGAAGAAGCACCGGCUAACUUCGUG
Molecule: ribosomal RNA, 492 nt
Filed under: uncultured bacterium
Lineage: Bacteria
Description: partial 16S ribosomal RNA
Rfam family: Bacterial small subunit ribosomal RNA
Source: RNAcentral